GCCGAUGUGGCGAAAUUGGUAGACGCGCUACGUUCAGGUCGUAGUGUCUUCACGGACGUGCUGGUUCGAGUCCAGUCAUCGGUA
Molecule: transfer RNA, 84 nt
Filed under: Bacteroidota bacterium
Lineage: Bacteria; Pseudomonadati; Bacteroidota
Also listed under: 1 other name
Description: Bacteroidetes bacterium (marine metagenome) tRNA-Leu
Rfam family: tRNA
About the family: Transfer RNA (tRNA) molecules are approximately 80 nucleotides in length. Their secondary structure includes four short double-helical elements and three loops (D, anti-codon, and T loops).
Source: RNAcentral